UGGCUCUAAUACAGCCGGGGGAUGACGGUACCGGAAGAAUAAGCACCGGCUAACUACGUGCCAGCAGCCGCGGUAAUACGUAGGGUGCGAGCGUUAAUCGGAAUUACUGGGCGUAAAGCGUGCGCAGGCGGUUCGCUAAGACCGAUGUGAAAUCCCCGGGCUCAACCUGGGAACUGCAUUGGUGACUGGCGGGCUAGAGUAUGGCAGAGGGGGGUAGAAUUCCACGUGUAGCAGUGAAAUGCGUAGAGAUGUGGAGGAAUACCGAUGGCGAAGGCAGCCCCCUGGGCCAAUACUGACGCUCAUGCACGAAAGCGUGGGGAGCAAACAGGAUUAGAUACCCUGGUAGUCCACGCCCUAAACGAUGUCAACUAGUUGUUGGGGAUUCAUUUCCUUAGUAACGUAGCUAACGCGUGAAGUUGACCGCCUGGGGAGUACGGUCGCAAGAUUAAAACUCAAAGGAAUUGACGGGGACCCGCACAAGCGGUGGAUGAUGUGGAUUAAUUCGAUGCAACGCGAAAAACCUUACCUACCCUUGACAUGGUCGGAAUCCUGAAGAGAUUCGGGAGUGCUCGAAAGAGAACCGGC
RNAcentral lists this ribosomal RNA (585 nucleotides) under Burkholderia dolosa. RNAcentral describes it as "bacterial SSU rRNA". It matches the Rfam family "Bacterial small subunit ribosomal RNA", at positions 450 to 1031 of the family's 1533-position model. Lineage: Bacteria; Pseudomonadati; Pseudomonadota; Betaproteobacteria; Burkholderiales; Burkholderiaceae. The record is from RNAcentral.